RNAcentral lists this ribosomal RNA (301 nucleotides) under uncultured bacterium. RNAcentral's name for it is "partial 16S ribosomal RNA". It matches the Rfam family "Bacterial small subunit ribosomal RNA", at positions 509 to 807 of the family's 1533-position model. The record is from RNAcentral.
CAGCCGCCGCGGGAAUACGUAGGUGGCAAGCGUUGUCCGGAAUUAUUGGGCGUAAAGGGCUCGCAGGCGGUUUCUUAAGUCUGAUGUGAAAGCCCCCGGCUCAACCGGGGAGGGUCAUUGGAAACUGGGAAACUUGAGUGCAGAAGAGGAGAGUGGAACUCCACGUGUAGCGGUGAAAUGCGUAGAGAUGUGGAGGAACACCAGUGGCGAGGGCGACUCUCUGGUCUGUAACUGACGCUGAGGAGCGAAAGCGUGGGGAGCGAACAGGAUUAGAUACCCCAGUAGUCCCUGUCUCUUAUAC